AGGAAAAGCGUUGGUUGACCAGUAUGAUCCGGAUGAGAAUAUUACUGAACUGGCAGAUGAUGACAUUGAUUGCACAGUUGGAGAUCCAAAUCAUGAUAUGGGAUACGAUAAUGACGAUGAAGAUGCAGAGGUGGAAGCAGAAGAAGAGUUUUUGCCGCCUAUUAUUUCUCAGACAAAGGGCCGCAAAAAACAAUCUAGAUUCAAGAGUGCACUCGAGAAAAUCAAUCCUUCUAAGCCUCAUCGAAAAUGUGCAAUUUGUGGCUUUGAAAUCGACCACGAUAAGCGAAAUCACUAUCGAGUGCUAGGGAUUCCUGAGCCAAAAAAU
This 325-nucleotide long non-coding RNA is filed under the name Panax ginseng (ginseng). RNAcentral's name for it is "long non-coding RNA (PGIN_LNC003092)". Lineage: Eukaryota; Viridiplantae; Streptophyta; Magnoliopsida; Apiales; Araliaceae. The record is from RNAcentral.